RNAcentral lists this ribosomal RNA (465 nucleotides) under Vreelandella stevensii. RNAcentral's name for it is "partial 16S ribosomal RNA". It matches the Rfam family "Bacterial small subunit ribosomal RNA", at positions 338 to 795 of the family's 1533-position model. Lineage: Bacteria; Pseudomonadati; Pseudomonadota; Gammaproteobacteria; Oceanospirillales; Halomonadaceae. The record is from RNAcentral.
CCUACGGGUGGCAGCAGUGGGGAAUAUUGGACAAUGGGCGAAAGCCUGAUCCAGCCAUGCCGCGUGUGUGAAGAAGGCCUUCGGGUUGUAAAGCACUUUCAGUGGGGAAGAAAGCCUUGGGGCUAAUACCCUCGAGGAAGGACAUCACCCACAGAAGAAGCACCGGCUAACUCCGUGCCAGCAGCCGCGGUAAUACGGAGGGUGCGAGCGUUAAUCGGAAUUACUGGGCGUAAAGCGCGCGUAGGCGGUCUGAUAAGCCGGUUGUGAAAGCCCCGGGCUCAACCUGGGAACGGCAUCCGGAACUGUCAGGCUAGAGUACAGGAGAGGAAGGUAGAAUUCCCGGUGUAGCGGUGAAAUGCGUAGAGAUCGGGAGGAAUACCAGUGGCGAAGGCGGCCUUCUGGACUGACACUGACGCUGAGGUGCGAAAGCGUGGGUAGCAAACAGGAUUAGAUACCCCAGUAGUC